CAGCCAAAGAAAGGUGAGGGGACAGGCGGCAAGGAAAGGUAGAGGGGACCAGGCGGCCUCAGCCAAAGGAAAGGUGAGGGGACCAGGCGGCAAGGAAAGGUGAGGGGACCAGGCGGCCUCAGCCAAAGGAAAAGGUGAGGGGACCAAGGCGGCCUCAGCAAAGGAAAGGUGAGGGGACCAGGCGGCAGGAAAGGGUGAGGGGACCAGGCGGCAAGGAAAGGUGAGGGGACCAGGCGGCAAGGAAAGGUGAGGGGACCAGGCGGCCUCAGCCAAAGGAAAGGUGAGGGACCAGGCGGCUCAGCCAA
Molecule: non-coding RNA, 305 nt
Organism: Salvelinus sp. IW2-2015
Lineage: Eukaryota; Metazoa; Chordata; Actinopteri; Salmoniformes; Salmonidae
Source: RefSeq, a predicted model, not a curated record